CGUUGUGAGAUGAGCUUGCGUAGGAUUAGGUAGUUGGUAGGGUAAAAGCCUCCCAAGCCGAAGAUCCUUAGCUGAUCUGAGAGGAUGAUCAGCCACAUUGGGACUGAGACACGGCCCAAACGCUUUCGAGCGGCAGCAGUGAGGAAUAUUGGACAAUGGGCGAAAGCCUGAUCCAGCUAUAUCGCGUGGGUGAUGAAGACUGUGUUGGUUGUAAAACCCUUGACUCUUUGAAAGAUUAUGACACCCAAAGAGCAAAAAGUCCCGGCCAAUCUCGUGCCAGCAGCCGCGGUAAUACGAGAGGGGCGAGCGUUAUUCGGAAUGAUUGGGCGUAAAGCGCACGUAGGCGGUUUAGAAAAUCCGAAAUCGAGAAUCUCAAAGCUCUACUUUGAGAAGUAUUUUUUGUGAUUCCUAAACUUGAGUAAGUAAGAGGAGAGUGGAAUUCCUGGUGUAGAGGUAAAAUGUGUUGAUAUCAGGAGGAACACCAAAAGCG
RNAcentral lists this ribosomal RNA (490 nucleotides) under Phormidium sp. ISC 60. Its description in RNAcentral is "bacterial SSU rRNA". It matches the Rfam family "Bacterial small subunit ribosomal RNA", at positions 216 to 717 of the family's 1533-position model. Lineage: Bacteria; Bacillati; Cyanobacteriota; Cyanophyceae; Oscillatoriales; Oscillatoriaceae. The record is from RNAcentral.